CAAGUCGAACGAGAAAGCCCGCAAGGGUGAGUAAAGUGGCGUACGGGUGAGUAACACGUGGAUAAUCUACCCUCUAGUGGGGAAUACCGCUGGGAAACCGGCGACAAUACCGCAUAAGCUCGAGAGAGGAAAGCAGCAAUGCGCUGGAGGAGGAGUCCGCGGCUGAUUAGCUAGUCGGUGAGGUAAUGGCUCACCAAGGCAAAGAUCAGUAGCCGGCCUGAGAGGGCACACGGCCACACUGGCACUGAAACACGGGCCAGACUCCUACGGGAGGCAGCAGUGGGGAAUCUUGCACAAUGGGGGAAACCCUGAUGCAGCGACGCCGCGUGAGCGAUGAAGCCCUUCGGGGUGUAAAGCUCUUUCGGCAGGGAAGAUGAUGACGGUACCUGCAGAAGCAGCUGCGGCUAACUACGUGCCAGCAGCCGCGGUAAUACGUAGGCAGCAAGCGUUGUUCGGAGUUACUGGGCGUAAAGGGUGUGUAGGCGGUUGGAUAAGUGUGGUGUGAAAUCUCCCGGCUCAACUGGGAGGGUGCGCUACAAAACUGUCUGACUAGAUUGUGGGAUGGGUAAGUGGAAUUCCU
This 580-nucleotide ribosomal RNA is filed under the name uncultured Bacillota bacterium. Its description in RNAcentral is "bacterial SSU rRNA". It matches the Rfam family "Bacterial small subunit ribosomal RNA", at positions 58 to 671 of the family's 1533-position model. Lineage: Bacteria; Bacillati; Bacillota. The record is from RNAcentral.